Molecule: long non-coding RNA, 2681 nt
Filed under: Medicago truncatula (barrel medic)
Lineage: Eukaryota; Viridiplantae; Streptophyta; Magnoliopsida; Fabales; Fabaceae
Description: lncRNA gene37881
Source: RNAcentral
GGCCAAAAUGAAUAAUUCUUAUACCAACCAUGUUAACAGAAAGACAAAAAUAGGUGAUAAACAAAACCACCCCAAGUCUCAACAAAAUUUACUAGUUUAACAAUCUAAUGACAAGACUCAAUUCAAGAAAGCAAAAAGACUAAUAUAUGUUUUUCGGGCUUCAAUUCAAAACAGAUAUAUGAUAACUUAAUCUUCAUCAUCGAUGACCUUGGUGCCCAAACCUUUUAACUCUUCUUUAGGAAUUUCAACGACGGUGACAAGGGAGUAUAACUCUUCCUUGGCAUCUUCGUCGUCAUUCCUCUUGCGAGCAAUGCGUACCCUGAUCCUCCUUGGUACACUUCUGAUUCCCUGGCUCCAGAUAGCCUUGUUCAACUUAACGUCAACUCUAACAUCGUUAGUGCCCAUGGCUUUUUGAGCAAACUUUCUGAUCUCCUUGAUGGCUUUUGGUGCCUUCUUCUUGAAGGUGCUGUUUUACAUGAAAAAUACAAAAACACAGACAACAGCAUGAAAAAUACAAAAACCUAUCUUUCAAAUCAUGAUAAUAAUAAUAAUAAACACAAUAAAAAUGGCACUUUAGUCAAAAAAUCAAUAUGACUAAAAAAAACUGUUAGUUUAGUACACACAAAACAGUGCGAUUCAGAUGCAAUCAAAUGUCCAAAUUUUUUACACACAAAGACCAAAUGAACAGCAUACAUAUUUAGGGUCUGUUUGGAUAGGCUUAUUAGUGCUCAAUUACUCACAUAAGUUUUGACAUUGUUCAUUAGCUGUUUUUACCAUACUUACUGGCGGUCUGGAUAUGAAAACAGAUUAUGACGACAUUGUUCAUAAGCUGCUUUCAGCAUAUUUUAUAUGUUCUCCAAGAUAGCUUACACAAACAGCAAAUGACAUUGUUCACAAACUAUGAUUAAUUUACACAUCAACAUCAAAUGAACAGCAUGCAUACUUAGAGCCUCUUUGGAUUAACUUAACAUCAAAUGAACAGCAUACCUACUUAGAGCCUGUUAGGAUGAACUUAUUCGAGCUUAUUUAAUGGCAUAACAUUGUCAUGACGGCUUGCAAGAGCUCAUUAAAACAGCUAAUGAUUUUGUGCAUAAGCUGUUUCAGCUUAUUUCCAUUAGCUCUCCAAGAUUAGCUUAUAAAACAACUUAUAGCUUAUAAAAACAAUUUAAAUUUAUUUCAUCUCUUGUUAUAAAAAAAGCUUAUAACUAAGCAGUUAUCAUAACAAGUGUUAAAACUAAUACAAGAUGCAAAUUAAACUGUUUAUCCAAACAGGGCCCAAUGUAGUUUAAAUCAUGAAAUUAAUAAUUAAAGUGAUGAAACUACUGGUUAUGGAAAAGUGAGAAAAUUACUGAUUAGCAGUUAUAAGCUGUUUUAACAAGAUAUCAUGGUGAGAUUAUGAAAAUAAGCUGAAUACAGGUAAUGAAAAUGUUAUCAAUUGUUUCAAUUAGUUCUCCCAAACAGUCCCACAAGUGCUUGGGCAAAUAGAUAAGCUUAAAUAAGUUGAUCCAAACAGACCCUAGUAAAUCUACAAAAUUGAAAUGCUAACUAAAACAAUACUACAGGAAAGUGAGAAAAUUACUGAUAAGCAGUUUAAUCAUGAAAUUAAUACUUCAAAACAAUGAAUUGUAAUUUCCAGUGUAAACACAGACAACUGAAUCACAAAAGUCAAAAUUACUUAUAACAUGUGUUUUCAGCUUAUUUUCAUAUGUAAUCCAAAAUAGUUUACCAAAACAUCAUAAUUCUUAUAAAAUGGCUUAUAGUAAACACUGCAAAUUAGCCUAUUUAUCCAAACAGAUCCUAGAUCUACAAAAUUGAAACGCUUAUGUAAAACAACAAUUACAGGAAAGUGAGAAAGUUACUGAACAGCAGGCUUAUUUGGGCAUCUAUUGAAUAAGUUAUUUCCAACUUUUUUUCAUAAACUCCAAAAUCAAAAUCAAAAACAACGUAUAGCUUAUUAAAAAACCAUAAUUGUGUUUACAUUUUGCAAUAAAAAUAGCUUAUACAGAAUCGCUUAUCAUGACAAUACUUAGAAAAUUUUCAUAAUCCAUCAAAGAAUUAGGGCCCAUUUGGAUUUUGCAAUAGACAAGCUUUUAUGUAUUAUUCAUAAGUUUGUCAAUGGAGUUUAUGAUAAAAGAGUUUAUGAAGAUAUAAUUCCCGUUAGUAAAACUUAUAAAUUAACAUAAAAGCUUACUUAAUUGCAUAUGCUAUUUUUCAUAAACUCAAAAACAAGCCAAUCUAAACAGGCCCUUGGCUUAUAAAAACAGCUUAUAACUUACAAAAAAACAAUUAAACUUAAUUUUUAUCUCAUCAUAAAAGUAGCUUAUAACUAAGCGCUUAUUAAAACAAUUUAACUUUACAAUAUAAGCUGCAAACUAAGUUAUGUAUCCAAACAGAUACUAGAUCUACAAAAUUGAACUCUUACUAAAAUCAAAAUCAUAGGCAAGUGAGAAAAUUACUGAUUAGCAGUUAAAUCAUGAAAUUAACAACAAAAAUGAUGAAUCAAAAUUUGCAAUGAAACACAUAGAAUUGAAUCAUGAGAAGCAAAUGAUAGAAAGAUUGAAAUUACCAGCCAUGGAGACGCUUGUGGAGAUUGAUGGUAUACUCCCGUGUAACCACCUCUUCUUUCCUACCUGCUGCACCCUUCUCAACCAUUUUCAGCUUCUGAGAUUAACCUAAACCCU